UUCAAUAUUCCCACAAUGGGGCCCCUGCUCUUGGGGAAGUUCUGGACGCAUGAAACCAAUGCGGCCGUGUUGAAAUAGGUCUCCCCGUUUGUCCCAACGAAUAUAAGAAUCCACAUCUGUACGAUUAGAGCCCCAAUGUUAAAUCAAAAACCAAUAAAAGGCAAAAAAAAAAAACUGUUGGACAAGAGUGAAGCAUCUGUUGUUAAUACGACGAAGAUAUGGGAAUUUUAGAACCAAGAAUAUAUAAAAAAAAGCAUAAUAUAAGGUGCUAAUAUCGCUUAUUAGGAAGCACUGAUAAGAAAACGGGGCAUUCUCUCACUAAUUUUUUAUGAAAAACUAUUGAACCACAAACAAAACCUGCUUGCAUGUCAGAAUGGGUAAGAUCGAGGACAACUAUAAUGCAUCAUUGGAAGGUAGGUGGUAUGGUGCAAGAUCAAGAUAAAUUUUAUGGCCCAGAAAGCCAAACAGCGGAUUUCUGCAACCCCCAGAAAUUUGCCUUCGGAAUGUUCAUCCUUUUUUGGGCUAAGUCACCAGAAGAGUGCAAAAGACAAUGACCAGAUCGGAAGCAUGACAGCUCAAGCAUCUGCAUGGUCAACCCAGCUAAUUUCCCAUAAUGGAAUAUGGCUCAUGAUUUCCUGGAACAUGAUUCAUCCACCAUCGUUAUCUACCCUUCCACUGGAACAUUGAAUUAAACUAGGACGCAAACUCCACCUUAUGCGUGUUCCCCAGUAGACCAAUCAUCAGCAUGGGAUGAAGACUUGCUAAAGUUAGAAGAUGAAAAUGAAGCCGAUUCCUUGUCCUUCUGUUGCACCAUAUUCUAUUGCUGCUAUCAUGGUUAUCUGAGAGCCCAAUUCCCGUCCAAAGUUAUGCCCCUUCCCCAGCAUAGUUCUAAUGAGCUCAUUCUACAUCCAAAAAGCCAACAUUCUUAGCUAGUAGAGAUUUAUGCAUGCAUCUGCAGGCUGAUUUCAGACGAUAACAAAGGCCUCAACUCCAGUCUCCCAUGCUGUAUCUUGGACAGGAGAUUAAUUUUUUCAGCAAGCCAUGCUGGGAUGAUGAUCAUGAAUAACAAUGCUACGAUUUCCUCUGUCCACGAAAAAUGUCCAACUAAAUUUUUUAUACGUUCUGAGCAUAAUUAUGAACGACUUGAGAGCCUGCACAUCCCGGCCCAGGUUAAAUGACUCAGUCUCAUUUUAAAGGACCUCUAAUGUGUCCACAGAACUCUGCAAUUGUCACAAAUAUACAGGAAAUGUGAUCAAAUCUACUAAAAACCAGCAGGAAUCCACAUGUUCGACUAACCUCUGAGCAUUAGCUUCAUACACUUAGUGAAUCAUUGGAUGAAAUACAAAAUAAAUAAAAUGAGGUUGGGUCUUCAAAGCUAAAUUAACAAGCAGCUGAGGACAGCUCACAUUCAUUCGCAUUGAGACCUGAGAUGCUACAGGAUAUCCCGAUUCUGCUCAUGAGACCAAAUGACUCGGUUCACAAAAUCUUUCCCAACGUGGGAGAGAUGAUGAGGUGAAUGUGAAAAUAAUAGGUCCGAUGAUGACGAUGAUGUUUGUUCUUGUUGUUAUCAUUAUUAUUAUUGACAUGCUAUAAGUUUCAUGGCAUCUUCUGCUGAAUGUAACUGUGAACAGUGAAAUAUUAUGAACUUGUGACGCAUGCAGUGCCUUCAAAACAAAGUGAGAAGAUAAAUUGGAUUCAUGAAUUAGAAGCUCUCGGAUUUAGAUUAAAAAACAAAACGAAAUAAAGCCCACUACGAAACAAAGAAGAUGCCAAAAGAGAGUGAUUCUCCAAAACAUCCAGCUCUAUGUGACCAGUUAUCGCAGAGAUGCGGCCAUUAGAACAUCAUAAGCUAUAAAUAAUACUGAAUGCACCACACAGAAAAAAAAAAAUGGAAAUGAAUGAGUUAAUUCCAAUCGGAAGCACAGAACUACAAGGAUAAUGUCCCAGACAUUGGGAGAUGACAAAUUAUCCAGAAGAUCCUAAUCAAGAUUCUUGCGGGAGAACGGAUGCAGACAGACGAUUCAGACGCAAAAAAUGAAGAUAAGAGUUGCAGAGGGACUUACAGCCCAAAGGGGUAACUGGGGAGCCCUCCCAGUCACAAUGAGCCAGACCCAGCCAUAGCCGACGAAGUUCUGCAAGGCUCCGAGUAGCAGAGCUCCCCAGAUCGGCAGGACCUCGCAGAGGCUCCCCGCCAGGAACCCGACGCUGUCGCCGAGGUCCUUGGCCACUCCGAGGCUGGCGAUCUGCCGCUGGUUGUAGCUCAAGGCGCUCUUAAUGAUCGGCGAGAGGCUCCCAAAGAGGUAGCCGAGGCCCGCACAGGACUGAACCCACAUUGCCGCUACGAAAACCAGCCAUCUGUUGUUCAGAAAAGACUGAAUCCUCCCUCCGAGCCUCCCCAUCGCAGUGAUCGAGACGAGCUCCCGAUCUCCAGCAGCCGACUAUUUCGCUGAUCUUCCAAGCGCGGCAAGAUCGAAG
RNAcentral lists this long non-coding RNA (2475 nucleotides) under Spirodela polyrhiza (greater duckweed). RNAcentral describes it as "long non-coding RNA (SPOL_LNC002675)". Lineage: Eukaryota; Viridiplantae; Streptophyta; Magnoliopsida; Alismatales; Araceae. The record is from RNAcentral.